CAGACUGCAGGAGCGGAACUGCUCGGUCCUCCCUUGUUUUCCUGUCAUACCCGUACAGCACUAAUAUUCAAUAGCCGAAUGUAUCGCUGUAGAUUAUUUAGAAGACAGCAAGUUCUUGAGCACAGUCUGAUAUUUGUGGUUAGUAUGAGCCAGAGAACAGCGCCGACGAGUUACGGUAUGGAGGAGGACGGGGCUGCCCGUAAGGAACCAGCACCCACAGCAGAGAGAACCAGAGCUGAUAUUGGGCAGAGCCACAGGCCGGCAUUGCUGCAAGACAGACCAGAAAAAAAACAGCCAGGACAGAAUGGUCAAAUGAGCACCGAUUGUGGAUUCUACUGCUGACGGGAGAGCGUGUGUAGUUUUGUGCUGCUUGUACACAAAGCGGCAGUCCAAACUAGCUUCAGGAUGCCAAGGACAAACAGGAAAACAACAGCUGGGGCAGAACGGUGGAAUGAGCACUGAGUUAGAAGCCGGAGAAGUUGAGGCCCCGACAGUGAUGGCUGGAUGACUGGGCCAGCGCCCGUGGGCUGUGGCUGGUCUGCAGUGGUCAGUAUCUGACAAACAACCAGAUCUCAGUUCAAUACAGCAUCUAUGGAGGCACCAACUCACAACGUACAGGACAUCUUAGUAGCAGAUACCAUAGCUCUAUUGGUCAGGGGUCUAAAGGAGCAAAAGGGGAACCAACACAGUAUUAGGCAGGUGCUCAUAAUGUUCCCCUUGAUCCGUGCAUUUAUAACAACAUGGUUCGGGUCUAGCUAAUGAAUGGGCUGCUUUAACAAGGCAUAGCUGACCCUCUUCUUCGGCUGUGUUGCACCCAGUGCAUUAAAAGUCUUGGUUUAGACACACAAACGUUACACUACAGUGAAGUCCGCACCUGGUUCUCGAGGGCCACCGUCCUGCGUCUGUUCCAACGUCUCUAGCACCCGAUCCAGGCACGACACUCCAUCAGACCAACACACAAACUUGUAUUCAAAGCCACUCAAGGCACCCAUGUUUCUUUUUUCUCUUUUUUUUUUAGAAAAUACUGUGAUAUUUUAUUAAAAAUGUUGCAGAAAAAGUUUAUACAGGUGUCCAGCCAGAAAUAUCUCUAUUAUCGCUUAAGGCAAAACUGCAAACAAACAUAAGACAAAUCAAGGAU
Betta splendens (Siamese fighting fish) is the source of this 1138-nucleotide long non-coding RNA. RefSeq lists it as uncharacterized. NCBI's taxonomy places the organism in Eukaryota, Metazoa, Chordata, Actinopteri, Anabantiformes, Osphronemidae. The transcript is spliced from 3 exons. The record is from RefSeq and is a predicted model, not a curated record.